Chiroxiphia lanceolata (lance-tailed manakin) is the source of this 946-nucleotide RNA transcript. It is a transcript of the gene named heat shock protein family B (small) member 11, with no coding region annotated. NCBI's taxonomy places the organism in Eukaryota, Metazoa, Chordata, Aves, Passeriformes, Pipridae. The transcript is spliced from 6 exons. The record is from RefSeq and is a predicted model, not a curated record.
CACCGCCCCCGGCGGGACCGGCCGUGCGGGGGGCGCGGGGCCGCCGUUGCCCGGCAGCGGCAGCUGCGGUUCCCCGGCCGUGCCGCGAUGAGAGCCACCGACUGGUGCCGGAGCUCGGCCGGGGCCGUGCUCGUCCUGGCCACCUCCAGCGACGCCGAGCACCCCGCCGAGAGCGUGGCGGACGGGAAUUCUGAAACAUUUUGGACGACGACAGGCAUGUUCCCACAGGAGUUCAUUAUUGGUUUUCCCAAAUGUGUGAAAAUCAGCAAAGUCGCGAUCCAGUGUUAUUUGGUGCGGACCUUAAGGAUUGAAAGAAGUGUAUCUAAAGACCCCGUGGGUUUUGAACAGUGCAUUGAAAAAGAUUUGCAACACACAGAAGGACAGCUCCAAAUGGAAGAAUUUCCACUUCCUGAAUUCCAGGCCACUUACUUGCGCUUCAUCAUCAAAUCUGCCUUUGAUCAUUUUGUGUCAGUGCACCGGGUGAUGGCAGAGGGCACAGCAGAAAAUGCUUAAGUCCAGCUUAAAUUUGGACCUCCAUUUUUUUUGUACUGAAGUGACAUCUUGAUAGCUGUAUUGCAGAGAAUGUUUAUUAUUAGAACCUUGUAUUAAAGUGCUUUUUUGAAGCUUUUCCAGGAUGGCACGUAUUUCCUGGGGGUGGUAAUUCCAAGGCCCAAAUCCUCCCUGCAAAGGCAAUAAAAUGACAGAGUGAUAUUCAAGCAGACAGAGCAGAAGUCCUUUGGAGCACAGCAGCUGCACCAGAACUGUGGGCAGGUGUGCUUGGGCUCCCUUUGCACUGCAGGAGAUGGUGUAUGCACAGGUUGCACCCUGCUGUGUCACUGGGAUGGUGCCAAUGUCUGCAUCCUGGAGCUGGAAAGUGUUCCUGGAUCUCACAGCUUAGAUGUACCUAGGGUUAGUAGUGAGCCAAAAGAUAAAUAUUUGAGCAAGA